This 242-nucleotide long non-coding RNA is filed under the name Manihot esculenta (cassava). RNAcentral describes it as "long non-coding RNA (MESC_LNC005100)". The record is from RNAcentral. Lineage: Eukaryota; Viridiplantae; Streptophyta; Magnoliopsida; Malpighiales; Euphorbiaceae.
GGGAAACGUAAAACAGGAUUCAUGUACAAGGGAUUAAUCAUACAUCACACUAUAGCAAAGACAAUAGGGAAAGCACAAAUCUAUCCAGUAUAUGAUAGUACAUAUCUAUACACAUUACAUUACCACUAAUCUUUGAAUUACAUCAUGUCCACUAUUCUAUUACAACCAUACAUUCACGCAUAUCUUCCCUCUGUACUCUUGCUGACUUUAACUUCCCAUAACUAUCUCAAAACCUGCAAAAC